GGGACGAGAAGACCCUAUGAAUUUUGAUUAUUAAUUGUUUUAAACUUUAGUUUAUUUUAAGAUAAUGAUAAUUUAAUUGGGGCAAUUGAAAUUUAAUAAGAAAUAUUAUUUUGAUCCGUAUAAACGAUUAAAGGAAUAAAAUACUCUAGGGAUAACAGCGUUAUUAUUUUUUUUAGAUCUUAUAUACAAAAUAGAUUGCGACCUCGAUGUUG
RNAcentral lists this ribosomal RNA (212 nucleotides) under Uropodina sp. PAP1UR301. RNAcentral's name for it is "partial large subunit ribosomal RNA". RNAcentral also lists the same sequence under 2 other names. The record is from RNAcentral. Lineage: Eukaryota; Metazoa; Arthropoda; Arachnida; Mesostigmata.